RNAcentral lists this ribosomal RNA (421 nucleotides) under uncultured bacterium. RNAcentral describes it as "bacterial SSU rRNA". It matches the Rfam family "Bacterial small subunit ribosomal RNA", at positions 954 to 1374 of the family's 1533-position model. The record is from RNAcentral.
AUGGGAACGCGAAGAACCUUACCAGGUCUUGACAUCCUUUGAAGCUUUUAGAGAUAGAAGUGUUCUCUUCGGAGACAAAGUGACAGGUGGUGCAUGGUCGUCGUCAGCUCGUGUCGUGAGAUGUUGGGUUAAGUCCCGCAACGAGCGCAACCCUUAUUGUUAGUUGCCAGCAUUCAGAUGGGCACUCUAGCGAGACUGCCGGUGACAAACCGGAGGAAGGCGGGGACGACGUCAGAUCAUCAUGCCCCUUAUGACCUGGGCUACACACGUGCUACAAUGGCGUAUACAACGAGUUGCCAACCCGCGAGGGUGAGCUAAUCUCUUAAAGUACGUCUCAGUUCGGAUUGUAGUCUGCAACUCGACUACAUGAAGUCGGAAUCGCUAGUAAUCGCGGAUCAGCACGCCGCGGUGAAUACGUUCC